AAUGUAUAUAAAUCAGAUUUAUGUUUGCACAAUUUGUAACCAUUGUAAGUUUGUUGCGCAUUCUGAUGUUCUGCUGCGGAACGGAGACAAAGCGUCCUCUCAGAGGAGUGAACAGGUGGCAUCUGUGCGUUUGAAGGGAGUCGCGGUUGAUUAUGCCCUAGAAUGGAUUAUUUCAGAAGGAAUAGCAACACAGCAUUGUGUCAAUAGCAUGAUCGUGCCAUUCUGACUUGGACCUGUGGCUUCUGAUUCAGCCUGAGAGGUAAUUCACCAGUGAUUUAUAGGGGAGGCACUGUGUUGGACCCUACAAUAAAGGAGUAACUGCCA
Molecule: long non-coding RNA, 324 nt
Filed under: Penaeus monodon (black tiger shrimp)
Lineage: Eukaryota; Metazoa; Arthropoda; Malacostraca; Decapoda; Penaeidae
Description: uncharacterized LOC119592850
Source: RNAcentral